AGCUACGCAGCAAGUCAUAAGUGCUGAAAGCAUCUAAGCACGAAAGACACCGUAAAAAGAGACUUAGAAUACCCUCAAAACAGGGGUUUGAUGGGACUGGUGUGUAAGUAC
This 111-nucleotide ribosomal RNA is filed under the name archaeon. Its description in RNAcentral is "partial 23S ribosomal RNA". It matches the Rfam family "Archaeal large subunit ribosomal RNA", at positions 2815 to 2931 of the family's 2987-position model. The record is from RNAcentral.